This 27-nucleotide non-coding RNA is filed under the name Homo sapiens (human). The record is from RNAcentral. Lineage: Eukaryota; Metazoa; Chordata; Mammalia; Primates; Hominidae.
UGCUCAGCCUCUGCCUGUAGCUGCUGC